This 89-nucleotide transfer RNA is filed under the name Petrotogaceae bacterium. RNAcentral's name for it is "tRNA-Ser". It matches the Rfam family "tRNA". From Rfam's summary of the family: Transfer RNA (tRNA) molecules are approximately 80 nucleotides in length. Their secondary structure includes four short double-helical elements and three loops (D, anti-codon, and T loops). The record is from RNAcentral. Lineage: Bacteria; Thermotogati; Thermotogota; Thermotogae; Petrotogales; Petrotogaceae.
GGAGAGAUGGCCGAGAGGUCGAAGGCGCUUGCCUGCUAAGCAAGUGUAGGAGUUUCCUACCGAGGGUCCGAAUCCCUCUCUCUCCGCCA